UACGUAGGUGGCAAGCGUUGUCCGGAAUUAUUGGGCGUAAAGCGCGCGCAGGCGGUCUUUUAAGUCUGAUGUGAAAGCCCACGGCUCAACCGUGGAGGGUCAUUGGAAACUGGGAGACUUGAGUGCAGAAGAGAAGAGUGGAAUUCCAUGUGUAGCGGUGAAAUGCGUAGAGAUAUGGAGGAACACCAGUGGCGAAGGCGACUCUUUGGUCUGUAACUGACGCUGAGGCGCGAAAGCGUGGGGAGCAAACAGGAUUAGA
Molecule: ribosomal RNA, 259 nt
Filed under: uncultured prokaryote
Description: partial 16S ribosomal RNA
Rfam family: Bacterial small subunit ribosomal RNA
Source: RNAcentral